ACAGGGAGGUGACAAUGUUGUAGUUACAGGGAGAUGACAGUGUUGUAGUUACAGGGAGGUGACAGUGUUGUAGCUACAGGGAGGUGACAAGGUGACCGUGUUGUAGUUACAGGGAGGUGACAGUGUUGAAGUCACAGGGAGGUUACAGUGUUGAAGUCACAGGGAGGUGACAGUGUUGUAGUUACAGGGAGGUGACAGUGUUGUAGUUACAGGGAGGUGACAAGGUGA
Non-coding RNA from Salmo salar (Atlantic salmon), 228 nucleotides. The record is from RefSeq and is a predicted model, not a curated record. Lineage: Eukaryota; Metazoa; Chordata; Actinopteri; Salmoniformes; Salmonidae.